AUGGCAGGUCUUAAUACCUUGCGGCAACUGGUGGGACUCUUGCCGGAGGUUGCCGACCGCCGAGCUACCCCUGUUCCUUUCCGGAACAAGGCGCUGAACACGAUCACGUCGGUCCUCGUCUUCUUGGCCGGCAGCCGGUUGCCGCUGUAUGGGCUCUCGACCACCGCGUCUCCGGACCCCUUUUACUGGAUCCACGCGGCCAGCGCCUCCAACGGCGGCACUGUCAUGGCUCAAGGGGUAUACCACUUGCUGGUAUCCGAGCUGGUCAUCCACCCCUUGUUCCGACUGAAGAUUGUCAGGGACAAGAUUCCCGUGGAAGAACGCAUGCAGUUCAUGGAUAGGUCCCAGAAGUUACUGGGCAUACUGUUAGCCAUGGUGUCUGCAGUUUGCAAUGUGUUUUCCGCGGGGCAGCUCGGUCCGGUGAAUGCGACUCUGAUCGCGCUCCAGCUUUUUGCUGGAGGUACCAUUGUAAUUUACCUUGAUGAGGCCCUUAAAAAGGGGCACGGACUGGUAUCUAGUGGCAUUGCUCUCUUCACUGCCACCAACAUCUGCGCGUGUUUCCUGGAGAGAUAUGGAGGAGACAAGAUCGUCAUUCCUGCUGGCACGUGUGCAUUCCUGGCGCUCACGGUGAGACUACAAGGCUUGCAUCUCCCAUUGGCAGUGAGGACACAUGGUGUUGACCCUGCGUUGCAAGCCAACUGCAGCGUGAACCUAUCCUACCUCUCCUACAUGCCCAUCGUGUUUCAGGGUGCCAUUGCUUCAAGCAUGUAUUUCAUCUCACAGCUGUUAUACUUGCAAUACGGCGAAAAUAAUAAUGGAGUGGUCAAGCUGCCCGGCAGUUGGAAGCGGGAUAGUCGGUACCCUGGACAACUUAUUCCCAUCGGCGGGGUCGCACACUACGUAACCAAUCCACCAGCCUGGGCUGACUUAGCAAGAGACCCUGUCCAUGUGACACUCUAUGCCGUCUUGCUGCUGAUGGCAUCUGCUCUUAUCUCGGCAACAUGGUUUGGUGUUCGUGUAUAUUCGAGAAAUUAUGUGGCCAGGUUGCUCGGGAGGCAAAUACCUCUGACGCCUGCUCAGCCCGGCUCCAUUCCCAUGACCCGAUGGAAGCGUCAUGUUGCCAUGAUAGCACUUCUCGUAGGGCUUUGCGUCGGUGCGCUGACUCUCAUGGCAGGUUUCAUAUGUGUGCCUGGUUCCGGAACUGGAAUUAUGCUCGUCGUCACCGUCGUGUGUUCCUACUUUGAAAGGAGAGCUGGAGAUCAGGCUGCUGAUGUAUUCUGCCUCUAA
This 1287-nucleotide ribosomal RNA is filed under the name Triticum aestivum (bread wheat). Its description in RNAcentral is "partial small subunit ribosomal RNA". The record is from RNAcentral. Lineage: Eukaryota; Viridiplantae; Streptophyta; Magnoliopsida; Poales; Poaceae.